UACAGUGGGUGCGAGCGUUGUUCGGAAUUACUGGGCGUAAAGCGCGUGUAGGCGGUUCGAUAAGUCAGAUGUGAAAUCCUGGAGCCUAACUCCAGAAGUGCAUUUGAAACUGUCGAGCUUGAGUGAUGUAGAGGAUGGCGGAAUACCCAGUGUAGAGGUGAAAUUCGUAGAGAUUGGGUAGAACACCGGUGGCGAAGGCGGCCAUCUGGGCAUUAACUGACGCUGAGACGCGAAAGCAUGGGGAGCAAACAGG
Molecule: ribosomal RNA, 253 nt
Filed under: uncultured bacterium
Lineage: Bacteria
Description: partial 16S ribosomal RNA
Rfam family: Bacterial small subunit ribosomal RNA
Source: RNAcentral